Long non-coding RNA from Zootermopsis nevadensis, 1959 nucleotides. RefSeq lists it as uncharacterized. Lineage: Eukaryota; Metazoa; Arthropoda; Insecta; Blattodea; Termopsidae. The record is from RefSeq and is a predicted model, not a curated record.
UCUACAAGUGUUACAAUUUAAUCAUAUACGAAUUGCGACUAACGCACUGUGGUACGUUAGUAACAAGAAAAUAUACGAGGAUUUGGGGACCACGACAGAGCAUUGACUGAGAUCUUCGACUUAAAGUCAGCUGACUUCAUCUCUCUUCACCAUUGCAGCUGAUGCAGGCUGUAAAAAUUCAUGCUAACAUAAAUACUCACUGAACUUCUGUAGUGAAUCAUCAUCUGUCACCAUAUCCACUUUUUUAUACAGAUUAUCCCGUAACUGGUACACAUUUUCUGACUGAGGAAAACAACCUGCAAGACCUGAAAUGACAAUUUCUUCACCAGGGGAGGGCUGUGCGCAUUGUACACUUGCAUUGUUUGACACAGACAUAGUUGGCAGCACUGUACAGUUGUGAGUUGAGACCGAAAAUGGUGGGCAGCAGAGAGCGAAGAAGCAGUCUUAAUAUGCAUGCAGAGAUCAUCUCAUACCAGUUUGGAACAAGACACAACAUUGAAUAAUCGAGAUUUAUGGCUAUAAAGAAUUGUUAUCAAGUCAAUAAUUAUUUCUAACCAUGCUGGGAUUAAUAAAUCCAUAUUUCAGACAGAGUACCCAGUAAGUUAAUUACUAAAGCUGCAAGCCCCCCUCUGCUGCUAUAGCAACUCAGCUGCUCUUGUGUAGUGUCCAAGUGAUGUCAGACAGUUACCGUUCACAGUGAAGACAAGCGAUAGAAUUACAGCUGAGCUGAAUACUUCAUGUGUAUAAUCAAAUCCACAUUGGGCAAAUUUGCAUUUGAAGGAGAGAUUACUGUAUUAUUUUCUUUGCAUCCUACCAGAAUUUGUCUGCAAUAUGGACUUCAUUAUAAACCUCACGGAGCUAUUAAUUGCACUUACAGAAAGAACGAUUGUGUAUCAUCUUCCUGAACAAAAAUAUCUGUAUUCACUACAGUGGUAAAUAUACUGAGGCAUCAAAAGAGAGUUUCUUCUGUAGUUACAGUCAGUGACAAAAGUUAUGCUCUUUCACCAUUAAAUAAUAAAAUGUUUAUCCAAUAAAUCAUACAAAUAAAGAAACUAUUUACACAGAUACAUGAGAAGCAAUAGAAGUAUUCUCUUUACUUAAUACUGAACUAGUACCUCCUAACAGAGUUUUCAUAUGAUAUUUAGAGAACUGAAUGGAACUUAAUGAAAAGAAUAUUAUAGUUUCCAGUUCCUUGUAAAAACUAUCCUCUGUACAACACUUUUAUCAUCAGAUGGGUCAUACAUAUUCAGAACAAAUUAAUAAAAUCAUUAUUCUGACAUAGAACAAAAGGAUUCUUUGGGCCAUGGUUGAGAAUGGAAAUAGCUGUGGAACAUAAAAACUGAAGCAUUGCUACUGCCACAUUCCUUGUUUAUAUUUAUCUUGUACACUUCUGAAAGGCUACAUUUAUUAUUACAAAACGUUUUAAACCUCAGCAAAUUCAUUCUUGUAUGAAUAGCUAGAAUUACAAAACAAAACCCCCCCCCCACCCCCCCCGCUUGCUUCGUACGGGUCCAUCUCAUACGACCAAAAUCAGUCCUUUGCGCAAGUACCAGCACUUCUCGCUCGGCCUCAUUCAACUGAGGAUUCACCAAUCCGAACCUCUUUUGUGUCUAAAUAAGGGAGCAGCUUAAUCUAUGAAAGAUGUGAGAAUCAGUCACACAGGUAAUAAGUCAGAUUUAACAUGCAUAUAUAUCGUAUUUACCAGAAUAUAAGACGAUAAUUUUUCUUAAUUCAUUAUCUUAAAGUGGGGGGGUUCGUCUUUUAUCGCGCAAAAAUUUUAUGAAUAUGGCAAAUGUUUUUGUUGUUAGUAGCACGGCAAAUAUUAUUAUGCUGGGAAGUACACCUGUUUGGUUAUUUUGUCACUUACCACGCAACCUCAUGUAUGGCAACAUCCUUGAAUAGAUGAAUACUUGUUUUUGUAGUACUGUGAAUUGUUUCAAAACAGGGAAGUGGCUUACC